AUGCUCAGGUUUCAGUCCAGCCAGGCCAUGCUCAGGUUUCAGUCCAGCCAGGCCACGCUCAGGGCCCAGCUCAGCCAUGCCACGCUCAGGGCCCAGCUCAGCCAUGCCACGCUCAGGGCCCAGCUCAGCCAUGCCACGCUCAGGGCCCAGCUCAGCCAUGCCACGCUCAGGGCCCAGCUCAGCCAUGCCACGCCCAGGUCCCAGCCCAGUCGAGUCAGGUCCCAGCCCAGUCGAGUCAGGUCCCAGCCCAGUCGAGUCACGCUCAGGCUCCGGCCUUGUCCCAGCCAGGGGACACCACCCGUCAGACAAGUGCUAUUCAUACCCGGUCAGGCCCAACGUCUACUCCGUCGAGCUCGGCAGCUGCAAGCAGCCAUGCUGGCUCCAGAGAGGACGCUGUCCCAAUCCCUGUUGGCUCCAGUGAGGAGACCAAGAGCAGCACUGCCGGCCCCAGUGAGGAGGCAGCGAGCAGCACUGCCGGCCCCAGUGAGGUGGCAGCGAGCAUCAAUGCCGGCCCCAGUGAAGAGGCAGCGAGCAGCACUGCCACUAGUUCCUGUUCCCGUCGGCUCCUGUGAGGACGCCAUUCUAGUUCCUGUUCCUGUCGGCUCCUGUGAGGACGCCGUUCUAGUUCCCGUCGGCUCCUGUGAGGACGCCGGUAUAGUUCCUGUCGGCUCCUGUGAGGACGCCGUUCUAGCUUCAGUUCCUGUCGGCUCCUGUGAGGACGCCGUUCUAGUCCCAGUACCCGUCGGCUCCUGUAGGGACACCGUUCUGAAUCCCGUUCCUGUCCCUAGCGCAGUUUCUGCCGCGGUUCCCCACGACCUACAGGAGGAGGUCGCGCCUGCCACGGUUCUCCACGACCUCCAGGAGGAGGUUGCGCCUGCCGCAGUCCCUGCCACGGUUCCCCACGACCUCCAGGAGGGGGUCGUUCCUGUUGCAGCUUCCACUGCAGUUCCUGUCGGCCUCCAGGAGGAGGUCGUUCCUGCUGCAGUUCCUGGUGGUCCUGCAGAGACUUUUGUUGUUGUUCCUUUGUGCACAGGAGCCGUUCAGGGAGGUGCCGGAGGUUCCCGCGGAGCAUCGGCCCCUGGUGAUCCGGCCACGUGCGCCUCUACAUCUGGUGGCCCGGCCCCAGCCACGCUCGUCUCAGCUCCUGGUGGCCCGGCCCCGGCCACGCUCGUCUCAGCUCCUGGUGGCCCGGCCCCGGCCACGCUCGUCUCAGCUCCUGGUGGUCCGGCUCCGGCCGCGCCUGCAUCGGUUCCUGGUGGUCCGGCUCCGGCCACACCUCUGGUUCCGGCCUUGUCUCCACGUCUGUCCUCGUCUCUGGUUCCGGCCUCGUCUCUGGUCCCAGCUCUGGCUCGUCUGCCGGACUGGUGGCCUAGCCCUCGUCACCUCCUGCCGUUUGGGUGGCGCUGCCUCCUGUGGCGCCGUCCGCCUUGGCUCCGCCUCGGUCCCUCCUCCUGA
Molecule: long non-coding RNA, 1455 nt
Filed under: Betta splendens (Siamese fighting fish)
Lineage: Eukaryota; Metazoa; Chordata; Actinopteri; Anabantiformes; Osphronemidae
Description: lncRNA (ENSBSLG00000010416.1)
Source: RNAcentral